RNAcentral lists this long non-coding RNA (4724 nucleotides) under Homo sapiens (human). RNAcentral describes it as "HSALNT0225975". Lineage: Eukaryota; Metazoa; Chordata; Mammalia; Primates; Hominidae. The record is from RNAcentral.
GGACAGUCCGAUUUCCAGUGGGGUCCCGCACAGAUGGGACACGGCUUAGGAGGAAUCCUGGGCUGCAGGCAUUCCUUGGCCUGGUGGCCAGAUUUCUGGCACUUGUAGCAAGCUCCUGGGGGAGGAGGUUCUGGAGGAAUGCCUGGCCGCUGCAGUUCAGGUGUUUGGAAGUUCUUGUGUGCUGGAGAUGUGGCUGGGGUUUGUCUCACAGUGGAGGCAAGGAAUUGCAACUUUUUUCUAUUAUUGUACACCUUGAAGGCAAGGUUAAUUAAAUCCUGUUGUGGGGUUUGAGGGCCGGAAUUUAAUUUUUGGAGUUUUAUUUAAUGUAGGGAGCAGAUUGGGUGAUAAAAUAUAUAUUGAGAAUAAGACGGCCUUUUGGGCUUUUAGGGUCUAGGGCCGUAAAGUGUCUCAGGGUUGCUGCCAAACGAGGCAUGAACUGGGCUGGGUUUUUAUAUUUGAUGAAAAAGAGCCUAAACGCUAUCUGAUUUGGGAUAAAGAAAAAGGAGCAUUAACCUUGACUAUGCCUUUAGCUCCAGCCACCUUUUUAAGAGAAAAUUGCUGGGCAGGUAGGGGAGGGCUAGUCACGGAAGGAAACUGUAAGCCGGACCGGGUGUGAGGAGGGGAGGUGAUAAAAAGAUUAUAUGGUGGAGGAGCGGAGGCUGAGGAAGAAUUGGGACCUAGCUCGGCCUGGCAAGGAGCAGCCUGGGGAGGAGGGGAGAGGUCAGAUGGGUCUAUAGAAAAGAUUAGAAAGACUCAGCGAUGCUUGGGGUUGGGACUGAGGAGACAGGCGGGAGGGAAAGAAGGAAGAUUUGGGAUGAGUUGCACUGGGAACAGAGACUAGGGAGGGACUGAUGUGUAAAAGAACGCCUGGACGUCAGGCACCUCAGACCAUUUGCCCAUUUUACGACAAGAAUUAUUUAGAUCUUGCAGGAUGGAAAAAUUGAAAGUGCUGUUUUCCGGCUAUUUGGAACUACUGUUGAGUUUGUAUUGGGGUCAAGCGGCAUUGCAGAAGAAAAUAAGGCAUUUAGGUUUUAGGUCAGGUGUGAGUUGAAGAGGUUUUAAGUUUUUGAGAACAUAGGCUAAGGGAGAAGAAGGAGGAAUGGAGAGUGGAAGGUUGCCUACAGUGAAGGAGGCAAGUUUAAAGAAAAGGGAGAGUAGAGACACGGAGAGAAGCGGUUCAGGGGUUCUUACUCUCCAGAAAAGUGGGAAAGGGGUCGGGGUGCAGAGAUACGAGGUUGGAGUACUUGCUCCUCCUCUAGAAAAGCGGGACUUGCCGCUCAGGGUGAAGGAGAAGGGGUUGGGGGUUUCUUGCCCCCCAGAAAGGCGGAGAAGGGGUAGAGACACGGAGAGAAGGGGUUGGGGUCCUUGCCCAUUCCCCAGAAAAGCGGGACUUGCCGCUAAGGGUGAAGGACCAAGGCAGGCGUCCCUGCGUGGUCUGACACCUCUGAAACCUGGGUGAAUAAUCAGAGAGGUGUCCCUGCAAUGAUUAAACACCAAGGGAAGGCUGCCUUCCCAGUCCGUGACCGGCGCUGGAGUUUUGGGUCCACGGAUAAAACGUGUCUCCUUUAUCUCUACCAGAAAAUGAAAGGAAUUGAAGUUAAGAGAAGGGAGAAAUUGAAGUGUGGCGCCAAGAUUGAAAGGAGAAAGAGGUUGAGGGAUAGUGAGGGAGGUUGGAGAAGAGAGUAAAAAGAGGCUGCUUACUGGAUUUGAAAUUGGUGAGAUGUUUCUUGGGCUGGUUGGUCUGAGGACUUGAGGUUGUAGGUGGAUCUUUCUCAUGGACCAAAGAGCAGGAGGACAGGGGAUUGAUCUCCCAAGGGAGGUUCCCCCCCCCCUCCCCCCGCGCCAGUUACGGCACCAAAUUUAAUGCACGUCCAUGUGAAGAGACCACCAAACAGGCUUUGUGUGAGCAACAAGGCUGUUUAUUUCACCUGGGCGCAGGUGGGCUGAGUCCGAAAAGGGAGUCAGUGAAGGGAGAUAGGCGUGAGGCCGUUUUAUAAGAUUUGGGUAGGUAAAGGAAAAAGGGGGUUUGUUCUCUGGCGGGCAGGAGUGGGGGUGGCAACGUGCUCAGUGGGGGAGCUUUUUGAGCCAGGAUGAGCCAGGAGAAGGAAUUUCAUAAGAUAAUGUCAUCAGUUAAGUCAAGGACCGGCCUUUUUCACUUCUUUUGUGGUGGAAUGUCAUCAGUUAAGGCGGGGCAGGGCAUAUUCACUUCUUUUGUGAUUCUUCAGUUACUUCAGGCCAUCUAGGCAUAUACGUGCAAGUCACAGGGGAUGCGAUGGCUUGGCUUGGGCUCAGAGGCCUGACGCACUGUGCUGCAAGCUGCUUUCAAACAAAUGCAUUUAUUAUAUCUUGGAGAACAUUCCAGUCCAGCAGUUAGUGCUGCCUGCCUCUUUGACAGGCUGCAGAGGAUGGCACUGUUGCAUGUGCAGGAAUUUUAUGACCUCCCUCAUGAUAGAGGUUGGGGUUGCUUCCUGUUUGGGGCCAUAUUCUAAGAGAUGCUAUAGUGAACAUCCUUGUUCUGUAUCUUUGGGCACUUUUACCAAGAUUUCAGGACCAAAUACUUAAGUGGAACUGCUGGGUCAGAGGGUAUGUGCAUUUGAAAUUUUGGUAGAUAAGUCCAGAAUGCCCUCCAAGGGGUAGCCUCCAACUACCCCCUCGUUAAUCCACCCUCCAUUCAGCAAAGUGAGUUGUAAAGUUGACUGAAUCAUCUAAUAAUCCUGCUUAAAACUGCCAGGAGCUUCCGCGGAGACCCCCACUUGCAAUUCUGUGUGCACAGUCCCCUCCUUCAAGGCCGCAGCCACGCCAGGCUCUCCUGUCCCUCCCACACAGUGGCUUGAACCCACAACAGGGUCUUUGCAUGUGCAAGGCCCUUGCACCCAGUGCCCUCAGAGCUCCAUGGAAUGCCUUCUUCCCAUUCCUCAGUCUCACAUUGUACCUCCUGGUGCAGGCUGCAGGCCUCGCCAGCCUCAGUCAAAUGUAACGUUCCUAGGCCAAGCCACGAAUUGCCCAACUGGGUGGUCCGGCUGCCCUGCUAUCUCACUUGUUUGUGUGCUUAUUGUCAACUCUACCUAUGAGGAGUGAGCUCCUAAAAGCAGAGAUUCGGCCAGCGCAGGUAGCUCACACCUGUAAUCCCAGCACUUUGGGAGGAUGAGGCGGGCGGAUCACCUGAGCUCAGGAGUUCAAGACCAUCCUGGCCAACAUGGUGAAACCCCGUUUCUACUGAAAAUACAAAAAUUAUCCAGGCAUUGUGGUGCACGCCUGUAAUCGCAGCUACUCGGGAGGCUGAGGCAGGAGAAUUGCUUGAACCUGGGAGGCGGAGGUGGCAGUGAGCUGAGAUCGCGCCAUUGCACUCCAGCCUGGGCAACAGAGCGAGACUCCGUCUCAAAAAACAAAAACAAAACAAAACAAAAAAAACACAGAGAUUCUUGACUGUGUCUCCGGUCACAGUGCCUGACACUUAGUAGGUGUUUAAGAAGGAGAUGCUGGCUGGUUACCACCCUCUGCCAACAUGAGGGUGGUAAGUGACAUCUAUCUGAGAUGCCUGUGGUCCAGCUGAUGUUGACAGGGUCCUCAGGGUGCCCCCCACCCCCUCACUGAAGCAUGAGCUCUUCUACACCCGCCAGAGGUCACUGGGCAGAGGCCAAAGUUGCAGGGACCAUGCUGAAUGCUGGGCCCAUCCCAGCAACAUUUUACUGUUGUGGAGACUGUUUCCCUGCUGUUGGGUGAGGUCAAGCAUUGAUGUUUAAGGGUCUGUCUGUUUCUUUGUAAUUCAAUUGCUGCCCAUGCCCUUAACCUGUUUGCCUUUCCGGUUUUCUGUUUCUUAUUGACAUUACGAACUCUCUGUAAUGAAGAUAAGUGAGGUCUUUGUCUCUCAUUUGUGUUGCAAUGUUUUUUUUUCUCAGUUGCUAGUCUUUUAGGCUUUGGACUAAUUUUCCACGUAAGUUUCAAUUUCAUGGAGUCAAGUUCAUUAGUCAUUUCCUGUAUUUUUUUUUUUUUUUUAAGAGUUGGGUCUUGCUCUGUCACCCAGGCUAGAAAGCUGGUGUGAUCAUAGCUCACUGUAACCUCCAACUCCCAGGCUCAAGGGUUCCUCCUGCCUUGGCUCCUGGGUAGCUGGGACUUUAGGCCUGUAUGAUUUCUAACUGUGAUGUGAUGAGAUCCCCUCCCCUGGCUCUGUGAGGCCUGGGGCUGGGCUUUUCCAGGAGUAGGAGAGGGUGAAUUUUGGUGCCUGCAAAGCAGCCUGGCCUCGCGUGAUGCCAAAGCAAAAGCUUGGGGCCUGGGGCAGAUGGAAUCUGGCUUGCAUCUGGGGGUUAACUGGGCAGUUGUGGGGCACUGGAAUGAGAGGAGAGGGAGAGUGGGACUCCUGAGACCCUGCUGUGGGAUGAGGGUGAGAGAAUGGCAGGGAGGUAGACAGGAAGCACAGACCCUCAGCCCCCUGGGACUUGGUGCCCAGGUUGGUAAAAAAAAAAAAAAAAAAAAAAAAAAGAGUGGGGGGACUCGCUUUUUCCAAGCCUGUGACUGACAGAGCAGCGUCUCCACCCAUGGAAGCUGCUCAGGGGCCACCUGCAUGUUGGCACAGUGGGCAAGGAGGGGCUGCCCAUUAUCCCCAGACAGCGAGUGGGUCUGGGAGGGACUGAGCCCGUGCUGUGGUCAUAAGCGCUCAAAAGACAGAGGCCACAGCUUCGUUCUUGAAAGAAUCUGUUUAUUUUGAGAUUAAAAGAGUCUCAUCU